Molecule: transfer RNA, 78 nt
Filed under: Bacillus anthracis str. Sterne
Lineage: Bacteria; Bacillati; Bacillota; Bacilli; Caryophanales; Bacillaceae
Description: tRNA-Glu
Rfam family: tRNA
About the family: Transfer RNA (tRNA) molecules are approximately 80 nucleotides in length. Their secondary structure includes four short double-helical elements and three loops (D, anti-codon, and T loops).
Source: RNAcentral
GGCCUGUUGGUCAAGUGGUUAAGACACCGCCCUUUCACGGCGGUAACACGGGUUCGAAUCCCGUACGGGUCACCACUU